This is a non-coding RNA of Pelobates cultripes (western spadefoot toad), 910 nucleotides long. The record is from the annotation of a GenBank genome assembly. Lineage: Eukaryota; Metazoa; Chordata; Amphibia; Anura; Pelobatidae.
CCUGGCCAUUUUGUCGAGGAGUUCGUCUAUCCGAGGCAUGGGAUACGCAUCGGAGGUCGUUUUAUCAUUGUGCCGUCGGUAGUCUACGCAGAAACAGGUCGUCCCGUCCCGUUUCGGCACCAGUACUACCGGGGAGGCCCAGGGGUUGUCCGAGUGCUCUAUCACUCCUAACUGAAUCAUCUCCUCAAUUUCCUUGCGCAUAUUUUCUUUGACUGCUUCUGGGGUGGCGCAGGGGAGUCUGGUCUAAUGUUUCUACCUUAUGGGUAGCCAAAGGGGUAUAGCCUGGUAAAUUGGAAAACGUGGCCUUCUUUUCCUGAAGCAACCUUUGUACCUGAGCCCGCUCUUGGGCAUUUAAUCGUUCUCCUAACUGUACCUCUCCCAGAUCUCCGCUCUGGCCCUCUCGGGCUAAGAGAUCGGGUAGCGGUAGGUUGUCAAAAUCUUCCGUGGCAGGGGCACAGAUUGCGGUGACCUCCUCAGUACGUUCGUGGUACGGCUUGAGCAUGUUCACAUGGAGCAUGCGUUUGCCUCCCGUACCUGUAACCGGGCCGAUUACAUAGGUGGUGUCACAGAUCUGUUCCACCACCUUGUAUGGGCCCUGCCAGGAAGCCUGCAGCUUAUCUUUGUGGACUGGUCGCAAGAUUAGUACUUUUUGCCCCACCUGGAAGCUGCGGUCCCUGGCUCCCUUAUCGUACCAUCUGCGCUGUCGUUGCUGCGCUACCUGGAGAUUGUCUCGGACGGUCUGGGUCAGCCUCUCCAGGCGUUCUCUGAACUCAAGCACAUAUGGUAAGAUAGAGGUGCCAUUAAUGGUUUCGUCUCCCUCCCAGUGUUCCCGUAUCAAGUCAAGAGGUCCCCUCACUCUCCUCCCAAAUAAUAAUUCGAACAGAGAGAAUCCGGUAGAUUCUUGCGGCAC